This 425-nucleotide ribosomal RNA is filed under the name uncultured bacterium. RNAcentral's name for it is "partial 16S ribosomal RNA". It matches the Rfam family "Bacterial small subunit ribosomal RNA", at positions 354 to 796 of the family's 1533-position model. The record is from RNAcentral.
GUGGGGAAUAUUGGACAAUGGGCGAAAGCCUGAUCCAGCCAUGCCGCGUGAGUGAUGAAGGCCUUAGGGUUGUAAAGCUCUUUCAGUAGGGAAGAUAAUGACGGUACCUACAGAAGAAGCCCCGGCUAACUUCGUGCCAGCAGCCGCGGUAAUACGAAUGGGGCUAGCGUUGUUCGGAUUUACUGGGCGUAAAGCGCACGUAGGCGGAUUGGUCAGUUAGAGGUGAAAUCCUGGAGCUCAACUCCAGAACUGCCUUUAAUACUGCCAGUCUAGAGUCCAGAAGAGGUGAGUGGAACUCCUAGUGUAGAGGUGGAAUUCGUAGAUAUUAGGAAGAACACCAGUGGCGAAGGCGGCUCACUGGUCUGGUACUGACGCUGAGGUGCGAAAGCGUGGGGAGCAAACAGGAUUAGAAACCCGUGUAGUCC